This 253-nucleotide ribosomal RNA is filed under the name uncultured bacterium. RNAcentral's name for it is "partial 16S ribosomal RNA". It matches the Rfam family "Bacterial small subunit ribosomal RNA", at positions 524 to 776 of the family's 1533-position model. The record is from RNAcentral.
UACGGGGGGGGCAAGCGUUAUCCGGAUUUAUUGGGUUUAAAGGGUGCGUAGGCGGGUUAUUAAGUCAGUGGUGAAAGCCUACAGCUUAACUGUAGAACUGCCAUUGAUACUGAUGAUCUUGAGUACGAUUGAGGUAGGCGGAAUGUGUCAUGUAGCGGUGAAAUGCUUAGAUAUGACACAGAACACCGAUUGCGAAGGCAGCUUACUAAGUCGUAACUGACGCUGAUGCACGAAAGCGUGGGGAGCAAACAGG